Molecule: long non-coding RNA, 251 nt
Organism: Cydia splendana
Lineage: Eukaryota; Metazoa; Arthropoda; Insecta; Lepidoptera; Tortricidae
Exons: 2
Source: RefSeq, a predicted model, not a curated record
GUCGUUUUAUAGGUUUUAGGCAGCGCAGAUUUCGAAAAUUAUGACCAUUUUGGAUUCCAAAAUGGCGGCCAUGCACUAUGUCAUAAAAUAGUCAUGGAUGUCGUUUUAUAGGUUUUAGGGAGUGCAGAUUUCGAAAAUGAUGACAAUUUUGGAAUCCAAGGUGGCGGCCAUGCACUAUGUCAUAAAAGUCGUCAUGGAUGUCGUUUUAUAGGUUGUAGGGGGCCCCGAUUUCGAAAAUGAUGACCAUUUUG